This 1118-nucleotide long non-coding RNA is filed under the name Salmo salar (Atlantic salmon). Its description in RNAcentral is "lncRNA (ENSSSAG00000084828.1, ENSSSAG00000085151.1)". Lineage: Eukaryota; Metazoa; Chordata; Actinopteri; Salmoniformes; Salmonidae. The record is from RNAcentral.
GGGCAAACGUACAAAAUCAGCAGGGGAUCAAAUACUUUUUUCCCUCAAUGUACUUGAGCUCCCUGAUCAUGGCAAUCAACUGCUGUGGUUGCUACAGAGAGGAGACAUUGGUAAAUCGGGCUGCUGGGGUUGCUACAGAGAGGAGAAAUAGGUCAAUCAGCUGCUGUGGUUGCUACAGAGAGGAGAAAUAGGUAAAUCGGGCUGCUGGGGUUGCUACAGAGAGGAGAAAUAGGUAAAUCGGGCUGCUGGGGUGGCUGCAGAGAGGAGAAAUAGGUCAAAGAGGGGUGAAGAAGAGAUUGAAGUGGAGGUUCGGUGAACUACACUCACAUGAUUGCAUAGAAUGAUAUGGUUCGUACUAGUGACAUGAGCAAUUUAACUUUAAUGAGGCCCUGACUUUCUAACCGAAGAUGCAGGGUUGGCCCUGGGCAUAUGCUACAUAGGCGGUCACUUAGAGCCCCUGGCCACUAGGGGGCCCCCGACAAAAAUAUAAUGGAACUCAGUCAGGGUCUCAACUUACUGUUAAGAGUUAGAAUAGUAGUAUACACAAGGUGUAAUUUCUAAGUUUGUUUGUGCAUUAGCAGUUUUGCUCUUGUUGUGUCAGUGUGUGACAGUCACUCAAUAAGCCAUGUCAGCUAACAUAUUUUAGAUUGGUUAAAUUACCGACUGGGCACGAAGGGCAGGGGCCCUGACCUCCAGGAGUCCCCGAUUUGAUUUUAUUAGAUAUCAUAUUAACAUGGCAUAAGUCACACAUUUUCUCUACGCCUAGGGCUGGGUGAUUUCGACGCAAACUUUUACAGAUGCACAAUCGAGAGGAUCCUGUCGGGCUGUAUCACCGUCUGGUACGGCAACUGCUCCGCCCAGAACCGCAAGGCUCUCCAGAGGGUAGUGCGGUCUGCACAACGCAUCACCGGGGGCAAACUACCUGCCCUCCAGGACACCUACAGCACCCGAUGUCACAGGAAGGCCAAAAAGAUCAUCAAGGACAACAACCACCUUGAGCCAUGGCCUGUUCACCCCGCUAUCAUCCAGAAGACGAGGUCAGUACAGGUGCUUCAAAGCGCCACGACGCUGUCUGUGUGUUCGAAGCGUUAGAGGCUGCUGCCCUAUGUACAUAGAUA